UACGUAGGUGGCAAGCGUUGUCCGGAUUUACUGGGCGUAAAGAGCGCGCAGGCGGUCGUUCAAGUCGAGUGUGAAAGCCCCCGGCUCAACUGGGGAGGGUCACUCGAUACUGAUCGACUUGAAGGCAGGAGAGGGAAGCGGAAUUCCCGGUGUAGUGGUGAAAUGCGUAGAUAUCGGGAGGAACACCAGUGGCGAAGGCGGCUUCCUGGCCUGUUCUUGACGCUGAGGCGCGAAAGCUAGGGGAGCAAACGGG
This 253-nucleotide ribosomal RNA is filed under the name uncultured bacterium. RNAcentral's name for it is "partial 16S ribosomal RNA". It matches the Rfam family "Bacterial small subunit ribosomal RNA", at positions 524 to 776 of the family's 1533-position model. The record is from RNAcentral.